CAGAGGUUGGUGAAAAGAGUUUCGAUCAGAAGAGAAAAUCCUAGAAAUUAUGUCAUAACCUAAUGCUGACAUGCGUGGAAAGAGCUCGGCAGAGUUACGUAAAGGACUGGUUGGUAUGGUAUAGGUUUCUGUGCAGGGAAGCCUGGCUUGGAUUUUUCUUGGUGGCAAAUAUCUAGGAAAGAGCGGAGAAGUGGAGAGAUAUAACUUGAAAAUUAAUUUUCCCUAUGGAAAGAAUUGCAUCCAUUUCCCCAUGUUUGUUUUUUUUCAGCUCUUUAGCCCUCUUCAGACCAUACUGGCUGGCUAGUGAGUAUUCUAGGAGUUUGGCAGAAGGUAUGCAGAGCCAGACUUUGCUGCUCCUCUCUUCUUUCUGGAUGCUUUCCUACAAAUGCUAAAAAGCAACUCUGUAAUAUCAUAGUUUUUCUUCUCACAGGCAUCUAUGCAUGUUUUCUUGUUAGUAAGCACCAUAUGUCACUCUCUAAACGGCCCAGUACUGUAUUUUCUGGGACCCAAGUGUGCGUGGUAAGUAACAUCACAGCUCCUGCAUAUGAUGUACCAGCUAUACAUUACACAAACUUCAAUAAACAAGUCACUUUCAAUCAUUUCCCCCCUUUCAGAAAUGCAUUUAUAUAUGUGUUUUCUUACCCAUGGUGAAGAAGUGUUUAGAAUAUGUAAUAUGUCAUUAAGGGUAACAGAUGUAUUUAAUAAAGGCCUUUUUGGAUGUCUGGCUGUUCAUUGGGAUAAAACCUUGAAGUCAGGGCAGUCAGUUCUGAAAGGCAACAGUCAAUAAAAAAAUUAUUAAAAAAAACCCAAAACAACCUGAAACCCAUGCCGCUAUCCCUGACUGAAAAUCUACAAUGAAAUGAAUCACCCUUUUAACUAAUUGAAAAAUUCUUUAGACAUGUUUCUCCUACAGCAACUGGGCCAGCAUUUGGCUGAUUGAUGGGGCUUGUGAAAUGAUCUUUAGGACUUUCCACUCUGAUCAAAUAUCUUCCCAACUCCUAAAGGUCCAGCUGGCCCGGAGAUGGAGCGAGGGAUGUCUUCAUAGAUCCCUGGGAUGCAUUCAAAAAUGCAGUCUUUCUUUCAGCAAUGACGCACAGGAAAGAAAAGCACAAAUCCCAAACUGGAUGGAAACGAUCUGAAACAGCGUGCCUUGAAAUUGUUCUGUUUCUUUGAAGAGAAAUGUAAUAGUGCUCUGGUUCUAGAAAUUGUGAUGAAAAGAACGAUUUGUUUACUGUAUCUCCUGCAUUAGUAACAUGGGAAGGUGAGGGAACUGUCUUAGACAUAUGGUUGUUGUGUCACACAUCAUUCGUGCAAAUCUGAAAGCAACCACCGUGUGCUGUGAUGCAGGCACUUACCGAAAAGAAAAAAGAAGAGAAAAAACAAAAAAGCCCUCCCCCUGAUUCGGGGCUUUAAAAAGAGAGAACUCACUGU
Calidris pugnax (ruff) is the source of this 1431-nucleotide long non-coding RNA. RefSeq lists it as uncharacterized. The record is from RefSeq and is a predicted model, not a curated record. The transcript is spliced from 3 exons. Lineage: Eukaryota; Metazoa; Chordata; Aves; Charadriiformes; Scolopacidae.